This 950-nucleotide long non-coding RNA is filed under the name Medicago truncatula (barrel medic). RNAcentral describes it as "long non-coding RNA (MTRU_LNC003779)". The record is from RNAcentral. Lineage: Eukaryota; Viridiplantae; Streptophyta; Magnoliopsida; Fabales; Fabaceae.
UUACUGUCAAAGUUUGUUUCAUCAACUUGUAGACUUGGUUUACAAUGAAGUUGACCAUAUGAAAUACGAACACGCACACCGAACACGACACAAACACUGACACGUCGACACACCGCUAAUAAUUUGAUAAAAUUACAUAAUUCAGUGUAAUUAUAUGUGGUGUCGUGUUGGUGUCAGACAUCACACAUGUUCUACAUCGGGGCAUAUCUAAUUCGAGGAGUGUCCGUGCUUCAUAAAGUUGACCAAGUUAAAGGUUUACCAGUGAAGAGAAUGUGUACAGAGUUACUUCUUAGUGAGGUUGCUUUCUCAGCCUCAAACAGAUCAUUGUCACCAAUUGGAAGAUAUGUUUGGAUUUCAAUUUGCAAUAGUAUAAUUUUGUUUUUAGUAUUAAAUUCAUUCAGGGAUUUAUAUGCUUCCAAUGCAAGGAAAUAUUGUUGGAUUACCUUGUUGACUCUUACUCCAUGUGUGUCUCGUGACUCUGAACAUGAAAAUUUGUGGUGCUGAGACCCUAAUCAAGACAGACCAUUAGUGCAUAUCUUAACAGUAACAAUUCAUGCCUACAUCAUUGAUGAUGUUUGGUGAAUUUUUUCCCCAAUGAUAUGAAUUAUGAAGAUGAAUUACUUUCUUUUCUUCUUCUUUCAAUUACCCUUUUCUGAGGGCAUUGUAUGCAAGAUUUAAAUGGUAUUUGACGGCAACACCGUCGCGAUCGAAGUACAUAAAUGGUAUUUGAGGGCAGUUCUUCUCAUUAUCAAGAAUCGCGAUGCGACUGUUGUUGUGACUUUUGUUUUGUUUCAAAGAAUCAAGCGGUGAAACUCGCAUACAUUGAGUGCAGAGAAGUGGGGUAUUGUAGGUUUGAUCUGUGUAAGCAAAUCUAAGGUUCUUGCAACUUUUUUAUCAUAUGAGUUGUACUUAUGGACCUAUGACUGUGAUUUUUAAAUGCUUUAAUUAUA